Molecule: long non-coding RNA, 279 nt
Organism: Spinacia oleracea (spinach)
Lineage: Eukaryota; Viridiplantae; Streptophyta; Magnoliopsida; Caryophyllales; Amaranthaceae
Exons: 2
Source: RefSeq, a predicted model, not a curated record
AUUGAUUGGGGAAUUUUAUUGGUUGUUUUUAGGCGGAGAAUUCUCUGUAGGCGACUUUUGAGUUCGUUAAAGUGGCCUAUCAGUUUGUUUACACAAGUCUCUAAGGAUCAAUAAGCAUUGUCCAUCUGCAGGUUUGAAGAUGAUGCAUCAUUGGGGAUCGGGAUUAGAGAGCUUGUAGUUAGAUUUGCUUUAUUAAGUGAUUUGGUUUGUUAACUUAAAUUUGAAAUUUGUCGUACUAUUCGUAUUUCCUUAUUUCAGUUAAAUGGGUUUUGGACUAAA